This 253-nucleotide ribosomal RNA is filed under the name uncultured bacterium. RNAcentral's name for it is "partial 16S ribosomal RNA". It matches the Rfam family "Bacterial small subunit ribosomal RNA", at positions 524 to 776 of the family's 1533-position model. The record is from RNAcentral.
UACGUAGGGUGCGAGCGUUAAUCGGAAUUACUGGGCGUAAAGGGUGCGCAGGCGGUCCCGCAAGUCAGGCGUGAAAUCCCCGGGCUUAACCUGGGAAUGGCACUUGAAACUACGGGACUGGAGUGUGGCAGAGGGAGGUGGAAUUCCACGUGUAGCGGUGAAAUGCGUAGAUAUGUGGAGGAACACCAAUGGCGAAGGCAGCCUUCUGGGCCAACACUGACGCUCAUGCACGAAAGCGUGGGGAGCAAACAGG